AAAGGUGGAGGCGGAAGUGACUGAUCAAUUCAGGGGCGUGGGGUUCGUUUAGGUUUUGCCCUGUGUAUGACCUCGUUUGGAGCCAUGAAACCAGCCUCAAGCUUUAUUCUAGGAAGGUAAUUCUGAAGAUACCUAUCUUCUUGAGAGUGAAAUUUUAUGGAAUCCUAGAUUUCUCAUACCUAGGAAUAACAAUGAGCAAAGCAGACCUUGGUGGCCAGAGGGGAGCCCUCAGGUAGAGCUGCAGAUGCUGGCAGUUUGUGUUAGAAGGUUCCGGGGCUAAACAGAUGCCUAGAAUUAGCCACCAAAAGGUAAAUUGUAGACUCCACUCUUCAAGAAGCAGCAGAAGGAUUAGGAAUUCAAACAGUGCUAUUUUACGGUGGCUUUUCUACAAUAUAAAGAUGGAAAUGGGAAGAAGAUGUUCAUUGCAAAUUAAGGAAGCUCUUCCACGAGUUCACGAAUGGAAAUAACAUCAAGAGUUUUUCAUCUUCUUAGUGUGCAAGGUUAAAAUGAAUAAUGAAAGGAAAGGGAGAGCGUCUCUCUUUACAAUGCUGGAACAGAUGUCUUGAGUCUGCCUCCUGAUGACUUAAUUUAUGUCAUGUGCUCAGCCCUAAACCAAUCCCUGUGGCAGAAGUGAAGUGGCUGUGAAAAGAACUGGGGGUAGUAUUGAGAAGAAAAGUAGAAAAUGACAGGUCAAAAUAUAACAAAUGUCCGCUACCAAAAAUAAUGUUUUCCUGUCAAUUUUUAAGCAUGUGUGUAUGGUUUCAAUGUAUUAUUAAAAGUAUGUGUGUGUAUACAUAUACAUAUAAGAAUCUAAUGUAUUCUAUAU
Molecule: long non-coding RNA, 826 nt
Filed under: Homo sapiens (human)
Lineage: Eukaryota; Metazoa; Chordata; Mammalia; Primates; Hominidae
Description: ZRANB2 divergent transcript
Source: RNAcentral